RNAcentral lists this ribosomal RNA (468 nucleotides) under uncultured bacterium. Its description in RNAcentral is "partial 16S ribosomal RNA". It matches the Rfam family "Bacterial small subunit ribosomal RNA", at positions 28 to 507 of the family's 1533-position model. The record is from RNAcentral.
GACGAACGCUGGCGGCGUGCUUAACACAUGCAAGUCGAACGGAAAGGCCCUGCUUUUGGGGGGUGCUCGAGUGGCGAACGGGUGUGUAACACGUGAGUAACCUGCCCUUGACUUUGGUAUAACUUCAGGAAACUGGGGCUAAUACCGGAUAGGAGCUCCUGCUGCAUGGUGGGGGUUGGAAAGUUUCGGCGGUUGGGGAUGGACUCGCGGCUUAUCAGCUUGUUGGUGGGGUAGUGGCUUACCAAGGCUUUGACGGGUAGCCGGCCUGAGAGGGUGACCGGCCACAUUGGGACUGAGAUACGGCCCAGACUCCUACGGGAGGCAGCAGUGGGGAAUAUUGCACAAUGGGCGGAAGCCUGAUGCAGCAACGCCGCGUGCGGGAUGACGGCCUUCGGGUUGUAAACCGCUUUCGCCUGUGACGAAGCGUGAGUGACGGUAAUGGGUAAAGAAGCACCGGCUAACUACGUG